UGGAUUGAUGAUGACUACUGGUGGCAUAUGAGUCACUUAUGAUGCAUACGUGUCUGGAACUCUGAGGUCAAA
This is a small nucleolar RNA of Manis pentadactyla (Chinese pangolin), 72 nucleotides long. RefSeq annotates it as small nucleolar RNA SNORD113/SNORD114 family. NCBI's taxonomy places the organism in Eukaryota, Metazoa, Chordata, Mammalia, Pholidota, Manidae. The transcript has a single exon. The record is from RefSeq and is a predicted model, not a curated record.